CCGAGUUUGUACAACUGUAGCUACCUAUACCCGGAACGUCGUUUUUUAAGCUGGGCAGUGAAGAUUUCUUAAAGUAAAGGUAAAUUUAGUAAAGUUCUAAGUAAGUUUAGUAGGUUGGUUUUGCUAAAAUAUCGGUAGCUACUUGUUUUUUGUUGCAAGGUAAGCAACUUAGAUUUUGCUAAUAAGCUAGCUGCCAAACAUGACACCUGCGAAGUAGCGAAAACAACUGGAAAAACCGGUAUUAUAUUAUCCCGCUGGUUUGCUGCUUCCGUUUGGGAAAACUAUCUGAAACUGAAGAGGGACGGGGUCUUCAAAUUUCCCACGCAAAUCCUUUUGACGAUGGAAAUGACUGACUGGAAGUGGGAACCUUUUCUUGAGGAACUAUCCAAGGUAUGCUCCAGUCUUGUCAGGUGCAGCUACCUCAGCAUCCCAUCAGAGGAAACUUAGAUGCUGCAUUGGAAUGAAGACUUCUAUUUGACAUUGAUGCACCUUUGUGGUAUUAUAUGCAAAUUGAACAGGAUGAAGGCGGAGGCUGUUUGAUGUGCAAAUGAUGAUUUUGGGGCACUGCAAUUGUGCACACCACUGCUUUUCUGUUAAUUGCCUUCCCUGUGGAGUCACAAAACUUUAUUACAGGAAGAAUGAAUGUAAGCAUAAAGAGAAAGGGUUUUACUUUCAUGGUUUGAGCCAGUGGAGUAUGUAGUGUAUUCAACAUCACAAUACUGAA
Amphiprion ocellaris (clown anemonefish) is the source of this 724-nucleotide long non-coding RNA. RefSeq lists it as uncharacterized. The record is from RefSeq and is a predicted model, not a curated record. The transcript is spliced from 3 exons. NCBI's taxonomy places the organism in Eukaryota, Metazoa, Chordata, Actinopteri, Pomacentridae.